AGGACGAACGCUGGCGGCGUGCUUAACACAUGCAAGUCGAGCGGAAAGGCCCUUCGGGGUACUCGAGCGGCGAACGGGUGAGUAACACGUGAGUAAUCUGCCCCUAGCUCUGGGAUAGCUCCGGGAAACCGGGAUUAAUACCGGAUAUGACCACUUUAGACAUCUGCUGUGGUGGAAAGAAUUUCGGCUAGGGAUGAGCUCGCGGCCUAUCAGCUUGUUGGUGGGGUAACGGCCUACCAAGGCGACGACGGGUAGCCGGCCUGAGAGGGCGACCGGCCACACUGGGACUGAGACACGGCCCAGACUCCUACGGGAGGCAGCAGUGGGGAAUAUUGCGCAAUGGGCGAAAGCCUGACGCAGCGACGCCGCGUGGGGGAUGAAGGCCUUCGGUUGUAACCCUUUCAGCAGGGACGAAGCGAAAGUGACGGUACCUGCAGAAGAAGCGCCGGCUAACUACGCGCCAGCACGCCGC
RNAcentral lists this ribosomal RNA (472 nucleotides) under uncultured bacterium. Its description in RNAcentral is "SSU rRNA". It matches the Rfam family "Bacterial small subunit ribosomal RNA", at positions 26 to 518 of the family's 1533-position model. The record is from RNAcentral.